AAUAUUGGACAAUGGGGGCAACCCUGAUCUAGCCAUGCCGCGUGUGUGAAGAAGGUCUACGGUUUNUAAAGCACCUUAAGUUGGGANGAAGGGCUUUAGGCUAAUACCCUGAAGUUUUGACGUUACCAACAGAAUAAGCACCCGCUAACUCAGUGCUAGCAGCCGCGGUAAUACAGAGCGUGCAAGCGUUAAUCGGAAUUACUGGGCGUAAAGGGCGCGUAGGUGGUACAGUAAGAGGGGUGUGGAAUCCCCGGGCUUAAACUUGGAACUUCUUUCAUAACUGCUGAGCUAGAGUACGGUAGAGGGUAGUAGAAUUUCCUGUGUAGCGGUGAAAUGCGUAGAUAUAGUAAGGAACACCAGUGGCGAAGGCGACUACCUGGACUGUUACUGACACUGAGGUGCGAAAGCGUGGGGAGCAAAC
Molecule: ribosomal RNA, 421 nt
Filed under: uncultured bacterium
Lineage: Bacteria
Description: partial 16S ribosomal RNA
Rfam family: Bacterial small subunit ribosomal RNA
Source: RNAcentral